Thunnus maccoyii (southern bluefin tuna) is the source of this 1459-nucleotide non-coding RNA. The record is from the annotation of a RefSeq genome assembly. NCBI's taxonomy places the organism in Eukaryota, Metazoa, Chordata, Actinopteri, Scombriformes, Scombridae.
CAUGCACCUUCCUCACUGUGAUACAGAGAGCAGCACAAACCAAGAGAACCAGCAUGUCUUUCAUCUGCAUCUGCAUCUUGGUACUCACUGUGUGUACCAAAGUGAGCUCAGCAGACAUUCUGCUCACCCAGACUCCAGAAUCCCUCUCAGUCCAGCGGGGAGAAUCUGCCACCAUCAGCUGUAAAGCCAGCAGCGCCAUCGAUGAUGAUUUAGCCUGGUACCAUCAGAAACCAGGAGAAGCUCCUAAAUUCAUUAUUGAUUUUAAUUCUGGUAUGACUUCAGGUCGAUACCAAGGCAGUGGAUAUGAUUAUGAUUUGAGUCUGACCAUCAGUAACGUACAGGCUGAAGAUUCAGGAGUUUAUUACUGUCAGCAGCAUGAAGCAACUCCAUACAGCUUCGGCGGAGGAACCAAACUCAUCGUCAAAACGGGGGUGUCCGUGCCGCCGUCCGUCUCUCUGCUCCCCCCCUCCUCUGAGCAGCUGGCGGCGGGUCAGGCCACGCUGGUCUGCGUGCUGAGCGGCUACAGCCCGCAGGGCGCCAGGGUGAGCUGGACCGUGGACGGGACUGAGGUGACGGAGGGUGUCCUGACCGGUGAGGAGGUGGAGAGGGACGGAGGGAAGUCUGUCCGCAGCAGCACCCUGACGCUGAGCAAGGAGGAGUGGCAGAAGCGAGACUUGUUCACCUGCCAGGUGUCUCAUGACGGCGGCGCGCGGUCAGCUGAGCUCAGGAGGACACAGUGCGGCCUGUAGGGACGCAAACCUCAUCUGUUGACCUGCUGCUGGUGAUCCGUGCUACAGAUGCUGCCUGCUUUCAUGUUUGUUGUUCAGAAGAAAAUAAAAAAAAGAUGUUUGAUUUAUUCAAUGGUGUCAUUGUUGUAAACACAUUCAUUCAUUUCCCGCCAUCAGUAAAGAUGAUGACACUCACUCAGCAACACAGUAUUUGCAUCGAGCUGUGACUGUUUAUUUUAACAUGCUAAAGAACCAGAGGGGUGUUUUGAUACAGCAGGACAACUAUUGAACCGGGAUUAUUUCAUUAAAGCAGAAUAUCCGUUUCAUAAAGGAGGUUUAAAUAAGCCUGACCUCAGUUACCAUGGAAACAUAGUCAGCUUCACCUCAGCAUCAACUGGUCUGACAAUCAAUAGUUCCUCUGUACUGCUGCUCAUGUGAACAUGAUUUUCAGUUCCUGCCAAUCUGAUCAUUUAUCGAUCAGUUUUGACACAGAUGUGCUUUAGUUACACUGCUUCGUUAAAACAUGAACUCAUAUCUGUUUCAGUUUUAUCUGCACAGUAUUCCAGCCGAUAUCUGCUUGUUUUAAAUGUAGUAUCAUUAAAAUAAAGCUAAUAAAUAGCUUUUAUUCAUGGCUGUAGUUUAACCAUAUGGAAGAUGUUAUAUUCAUGUUACACACAAACCAAGUGGUACAAUCAAAAUAAUAAAUAAUCAUCUUAUUUUCCUGUCACAAA